This 427-nucleotide ribosomal RNA is filed under the name uncultured bacterium. RNAcentral describes it as "partial 16S ribosomal RNA". It matches the Rfam family "Bacterial small subunit ribosomal RNA", at positions 355 to 774 of the family's 1533-position model. The record is from RNAcentral.
UGGGGAAUAUUGCACAAUGGGCGCAAGCCUGAUGCAGCCAUGCCGCGUGUAUGAAGAAGGCCUUCGGGUUGUAAAGUACUUUCAGCGGGGAGGAAGGUGUUGUGGUUAAUAACCUCAGCAAUUGACGUUACCCGCAGAAGAAGCACCGGCUAACUCCGUGCCAGCAGCCGCGGUAAUACGGAGGGUGCAAGCGUUCAUCGGAAUUACUGGGCGUAAAGCGCACGCAGGCGGUCUGUCAAGUCGGAUGUGAAAUCCCCGGGCUCAACCUGGGAACUGCAUCCGAAACUGGCAGGCUUGAGUCUUGUAGAGGGGGGUAGAAUUCCAGGUGUAGCGGUGAAAUGCGUAGAGAUCUGGAGGAAUACCGGUGGCGAAGGCGGCCCCCUGGACAAAGACUGACGCUCAGGUGCGAAAGCGUGGGGAGCAAACA